AUGAUCGUCAUUAACCCUGCUAAAAAUAUAUCGUUUAACAGUUUGUCUAAUAACAGGUCUUACUUCCAGCAAGGAAAUAAAAGCUGACAAGAUGGACAGUAAUCUAAAUAAAGACACACUUUGUGAGAAGAUAUCAUCUGAAUUGCAAAAAAGUGGUGUUCAAAGCAAUAAGAUGCUCAGUCUGUGUAAAAUGACACAUAGUUGUUAUAUUUGUGAUAAAACAUUUACUCGACAAAGUUCUCUGAAAACACAUAUGACAAUACAUACUGGCGAGAAGAAUCAUGUAUGUAAAAUUUGUGAUAAAGCAUUUUCUCGAAAAAAUUCUCUGAAAACACAUAUGACAAAACAUACUGGCGAGAAGAAUCAUAUAUGUAACAUAUGUGAUAAAGCAUUUUCACAACGAAUUAAUUUGGUCAGACAUAUGACAAUACAUACUGGAGAGAAAAUACAUGAAUGUAAAAUAUGUGAUAAAACAUUUUCUCUUCAAGGUAAUUUGAUCACACAUAUGCGAAUACACACUGGUGAGAAGAAUCAUAAGUGUGAAAUAUGUGACAAAACAUUUUCUCAACGAAGUUCUUUGAUCAGGCAUAUGACAAUACACUAUGAUAGGAAGAAUCAUAUAUGUAAAAUAUGUGACAAAACUUUUUUUCAUCAAAGUAAUUUGUUCACGCAUAUGACAAUACAUACUGGCGAGAAAAAACAUGAAUGUAAAAUAUGUGAUAAAUCAUUUGUUCAUCAAAGUAAUUUGAUCAGGCAUUUGAAAAUACACAAUGACGAGAAGAAUCAUUUAUGUGACGAAUGUGGUAAAGCAUUUUCUCAACGAAAUAAUUUGAUCAGGCAUAUGACAAUACAUACUGGUGAGAAUACACACUGUUGAGAAGAAACGGCCUCUGUGGUCGAGGGGUUAUAGUCCAUGACUUCUAAUCAAGUUACCUCUCUGGCGUGGAUUCGAUCCCGGGGAGAUGCUUUGGAUGUUUAGCAUGGAGGAAGGUAGUCUAGUACUGGUGUAACUGAUCUCCAUGAACAAAGGUAAGGAAACUACCUGCCUAUUUGACUGAAAUACUGUUGGGAAAAGGCGUAAAAUGAAACAAACAAACAAAAGUUGAGAAGAAUCAAAGAUGUGACAUGUGAUAAAACAUUUCCUAAUCGAAUCAAUUUGAUCACACAUAUCAAAAUACACACUGGCAAGAAGAACCAUAUAAUUUAUGUUAAAUAUGUGACAAAACUUUUUCUUAUCGAAGUAAUUUGUUCGGGCAUAUGACAAAACAUACUGGCGGGAAAAAUCAUGAAUGUAAAAUAUGUGAUAAAACAUUUUCUCAUCGAAGUAAAUUUGAUCACACAUAUGACAGUACACACCGGCAAGAAGAAUCAUUAAUGUAAAAUAUGUGAGAAAGCAUUUUUCUCAACGACAAUAUCUUAUCAAACAUACGACAACAUAUACUAGUAAGAACAAUCAUAAAUGUAACAUUAUGUGGUAAAACAUUUUCUCAACAAAGUAAUUUGAUCAAGCAUACGACACAAGCACACAUGAAAAUACACAUUGGCGAGAAGGAUCAUCUAUAAAGAAUUUUCUCAAUGAGUUCAUCUUAUCAGCCAUAUGACAAUACACACUGGCGAGAUAAAAAAUCAUAAUUGUAAGUGACCCUUAAUGAUGACGAGAGGGCUUGUUCCCAGUUAACUUUGUAACAGCAGACCUGUCAGUGGAACCAGAAGAACCAAAACGAAAGGUAGAGUUUAGUGAAGAAGUUCAAGUAAAGAUGAUAAAGGCACCAGAACAGCUGGAAAUUGAUGAGUCAAAGAUAGAUGAAAUGUGGCAGCAGAUACAGAAUACUGACCUCACUGGAGAGACCUGACCGGAUACCAUGGAAAUGUUA
Molecule: long non-coding RNA, 1874 nt
Organism: Ruditapes philippinarum (Manila clam)
Lineage: Eukaryota; Metazoa; Mollusca; Bivalvia; Venerida; Veneridae
Exons: 5
Source: RefSeq, a predicted model, not a curated record